RNAcentral lists this long non-coding RNA (337 nucleotides) under Medicago truncatula (barrel medic). RNAcentral's name for it is "long non-coding RNA (MTRU_LNC005499)". The record is from RNAcentral. Lineage: Eukaryota; Viridiplantae; Streptophyta; Magnoliopsida; Fabales; Fabaceae.
CUCGUUCCAGCAUCAGGGUGUCGAUUCUUAUUAGAUCCCCACCAUUUGAUGUGAUUUGUUAAAUCAAUCUUUCUUUCUACGCAGAAACCACUAACAUAUUCACUUUCCGCAGCUGAAUUAUCUCCUAUACCUUCAAUGUUUGUAAAAAGGUGAGAUGAUAGUGACCUUCAAUGUUUGUAAAAAGGUGAGAUGAUAGUGAUCUUGCAGGUAAAAAUAGUUGGAAUUAAUUGAAAUAUAACUUUUUCUCCACAUCAAAGAUGCACAAAUGAACGUGGUUCAUAUACUCCAUUCAAUGAAAUAUUAGCUUGGACAUAAAAUUCGAAUACCACGUACCAUG